Molecule: ribosomal RNA, 253 nt
Filed under: uncultured bacterium
Lineage: Bacteria
Description: partial 16S ribosomal RNA
Rfam family: Bacterial small subunit ribosomal RNA
Source: RNAcentral
UACGUAGGUGGCAAGCGUUAUCCGGAAUUACUGGGCGUAAAGGGUGUGCAGGCGGGGAUACAAGUGGUGUAUGAAAUCUCCCAGCUUAACUGGGAGCGGUUAUGUCAGACUGUAUUUCUAGAGGACGAGAGAGGGGGGUGGAAUUCCGGGUGUAGUGGUGAAAUGCGUAGAGAUCCGGAGGAACCCCAGAGGCGAAGGCGGCCCCCUGGCUCGUACCUGACGCUCAGCCACGAAAGCAUGGGGAGCGAACGGG